GCUCUUGCGUCGCAGGGUAGAAAAGCGCGGGAUGGGAUGGGAUCACAGUGAGAAAGAAUGGGAGCAACUGUUUGUUCGAGAGCCAACACAUUAGGCAAUUUUUUGAGCCACUUUUUAUUGGAUUGCC
This is a non-coding RNA of Caenorhabditis elegans, 127 nucleotides long. Lineage: Eukaryota; Metazoa; Nematoda; Chromadorea; Rhabditida; Rhabditidae. The record is from Ensembl.